RNAcentral lists this ribosomal RNA (253 nucleotides) under uncultured bacterium. Its description in RNAcentral is "partial 16S ribosomal RNA". It matches the Rfam family "Bacterial small subunit ribosomal RNA", at positions 524 to 776 of the family's 1533-position model. The record is from RNAcentral.
GACGAACCGUGCGAACGUUGUUCGGAAUCACUGGGCUUAAAGGGCGCGUAGGCGGGUGCUCAAGUCCGGGGUGAAAUCCUCCAGCUCAACUGGAGAACUGCCUCGGAUACUGGGUGCCUCGAGGGUGGUAGGGGUAUGCGGAACUAUCGGUGGAGCGGUGAAAUGCGUUGAUAUCGAUAGGAACUCCGGUGGCGAAGGCGGCAUACUGGACCACUUCUGACGCUGAGGCGCGAAAGCCAGGGGAGCAAACGGG